GAACCUCGAGUGCCAGGUUACAAAUCUGGCUGUCGAGAUGCCUAAAAAGCAUUUCAUAGCAAGGGCCGGGCAAGACCGGUGCCAGCCGCCGCGGUAACACCGGCGGCUCGAGUGGUAACCGUUAUUAUUGGGUCUAAAGGGUCUGUAGCCGGCCGGAUAAGUCUCUUGAGAAAUCUGGCAGCUUAACUGUCAGGCUUUCAGGAGAUACUGUCUGGCUCGAGGCCGGGAGAGGUGAGAGGUACUUCAGGGGUAGGGGUGAAAUCUUGUAAUCCUUGAAGGACCACCAGUGGCGAAGGCGUCUCACCAGAACGGACCUGACGGCAAGGGACGAAAGCUAGGGGCACGAACCGGAUUAGAUACCCGGGUAGUCCUAGCCGUAAACGAUACUCGCUAGGUGUCGGCCACGGUGCGACCGUUGUCGGUGCCGUAGGGAAGCCGUGAAGCGAGC
Molecule: ribosomal RNA, 448 nt
Filed under: uncultured archaeon
Lineage: Archaea
Description: bacterial SSU rRNA
Rfam family: Archaeal small subunit ribosomal RNA
Source: RNAcentral